UUUGGCAAAGAGAUUUUCCGGCAGGAAGUCACCGAUUGUUCUCGGCGAUCGAGAAGGGUGUCAAUGGGUCCCGUCCGUUUGUCAAAUCC
Molecule: transfer RNA, 89 nt
Filed under: Streptomyces sp. NBRC 14336
Lineage: Bacteria; Bacillati; Actinomycetota; Actinomycetes; Kitasatosporales; Streptomycetaceae
Description: tRNA-Glu
Source: RNAcentral